CGAGAUUUUCCCGCCCAUAAUCACCCAAAUCUCUCUCUCUCUCUCUCUCUCUCUCUCUCUUUCUCUCUCUCUCUCACAGCAAAGCAAUGGCGUCUCCACCAUCUCACUCCGAUGUGCAACCUCUGCUUGCUGUGGAAGCUGAAUCUCAGCUCUCUUCUCUCAUCCGCGGUCAGAUAUGUUACAAGAAGUCAAAGGGGCAAUGGAGAACAUGCUAAAAAUGACUAAGUGAGUUCAUAAUUAGUACUAUUAAGCUUAGAAAUAUUGUUUCUUAUCACUAAUAUAGCUGAAUUUCUUCUUUUUUUUCUCCCUUACUUGAAUGCAUACAUGUCUGAGGAUUGUUGCUGCUGCUGUUCCUCUUUCAUAUCAAGUGAAUAGCUUUUCCACUACAUUUUUUGUAAUCUUCUUGCUCAGAACACUGCUAUCAUGUCUGAGGAUGAAGAGGUUGCUUUUGUACCUUUUGCAUCUUAUCACAAUUUUAGUGUUCUUUGCCAAGGACUCCGCUAAUGUGACAUAAGGAAAAAAUUUCAUUUA
Molecule: long non-coding RNA, 531 nt
Organism: Alnus glutinosa
Lineage: Eukaryota; Viridiplantae; Streptophyta; Magnoliopsida; Fagales; Betulaceae
Exons: 2
Source: RefSeq, a predicted model, not a curated record